RNAcentral lists this ribosomal RNA (1661 nucleotides) under Staphylococcus aureus. RNAcentral's name for it is "bacterial LSU rRNA". It matches the Rfam family "Bacterial large subunit ribosomal RNA", at positions 1268 to 2925 of the family's 2925-position model. Lineage: Bacteria; Bacillati; Bacillota; Bacilli; Caryophanales; Staphylococcaceae. The record is from RNAcentral.
GACAUGUGGAGCGCUUAGAAGUGAGAAUGCCGGUGUGAGUAGCGAAAGACGGGUGAGAAUCCCGUCCACCGAUUGACUAAGGUUUCCAGAGGAAGGCUCGUCCGCUCUGGGUUAGUCGGGUCCUAAGCUGAGGCCGACAGGCGUAGGCGAUGGAUAACAGGUUGAUAUUCCUGUACCACCUAUAAUCGUUUUAAUCGAUGGGGGGACGCAGUAGGAUAGGCGAAGCGUGCGAUUGGAUUGCACGUCUAAGCAGUAAGGCUGAGUAUUAGGCAAAUCCGGUACUCGUUAAGGCUGAGCUGUGAUGGGGAGAAGACAUUGUGUCUUCGAGUCGUUGAUUUCACACUGCCGAGAAAAGCCUCUAGAUAGAAAAUAGGUGCCCGUACCGCAAACCGACACAGGUAGUCAAGAUGAGAAUUCUAAGGUGAGCGAGCGAACUCUCGUUAAGGAACUCGGCAAAAUGACCCCGUAACUUCGGGAGAAGGGGUGCUCUUUAGGGUUAACGCCCAGAAGAGCCGCAGUGAAUAGGCCCAAGCGACUGUUUAUCAAAAACACAGGUCUCUGCUAAACCGUAAGGUGAUGUAUAGGGGCUGACGCCUGCCCGGUGCUGGAAGGUUAAGAGGAGUGGUUAGCUUCUGCGAAGCUACGAAUCGAAGCCCCAGUAAACGGCGGCCGUAACUAUAACGGUCCUAAGGUAGCGAAAUUCCUUGUCGGGUAAGUUCCGACCCGCACGAAAGGCGUAACGAUUUGGGCACUGUCUCAACGAGAGACUCGGUGAAAUCAUAGUACCUGUGAAGAUGCAGGUUACCCGCGACAGGACGGAAAGACCCCGUGGAGCUUUACUGUAGCCUGAUAUUGAAAUUCGGCACAGCUUGUACAGGAUAGGUAGGAGCCUUUGAAACGUGAGCGCUAGCUUACGUGGAGGCGCUGGUGGGAUACUACCCUAGCUGUGUUGGCUUUCUAACCCGCACCACUUAUCGUGGUGGGAGACAGUGUCAGGCGGGCAGUUUGACUGGGGCGGUCGCCUCCUAAAAGGUAACGGAGGCGCUCAAAGGUUCCCUCAGAAUGGUUGGAAAUCAUUCAUAGAGUGUAAAGGCAUAAGGGAGCUUGACUGCGAGACCUACAAGUCGAGCAGGGUCGAAAGACGGACUUAGUGAUCCGGUGGUUCCGCAUGGAAGGGCCAUCGCUCAACGGAUAAAAGCUACCCCGGGGAUAACAGGCUUAUCUCCCCCAAGAGUUCACAUCGACGGGGAGGUUUGGCACCUCGAUGUCGGCUCAUCGCAUCCUGGGGCUGUAGUCGGUCCCAAGGGUUGGGCUGUUCGCCCAUUAAAGCGGUACGCGAGCUGGGUUCAGAACGUCGUGAGACAGUUCGGUCCCUAUCCGUCGUGGGCGUAGGAAAUUUGAGAGGAGCUGUCCUUAGUACGAGAGGACCGGGAUGGACAUACCUCUGGUGUACCAGUUGUCGUGCCAACGGCAUAGCUGGGUAGCUAUGUGUGGACGGGAUAAGUGCUGAAAGCAUCUAAGCAUGAAGCCCCCCUCAAGAUGAGAUUUCCCAACUUCGGUUAUAAGAUCCCUCAAAGAUGAUGAGGUUAAUAGGUUCGAGGUGGAAGCAUGGUGACAUGUGGAGCUGACGAAUACUAAUCGAUCGAAGACUUAAUCAAAUU